This is a long non-coding RNA of Alnus glutinosa, 679 nucleotides long. RefSeq lists it as uncharacterized. The transcript is spliced from 2 exons. The record is from RefSeq and is a predicted model, not a curated record. Lineage: Eukaryota; Viridiplantae; Streptophyta; Magnoliopsida; Fagales; Betulaceae.
GAGCCUUUAAAUGCUGACUAUGCCCGGGUAGCUGACCUCAAGAAGAAGUAGCAGCCUCAGGACUCAAACCUGAGAUCAAAAGGGAGAAAUGCCCUUCCGUCCCAGGUCCUGACCAUCAUGCCACCCCUUGGGGUUUAUUAAGUUGUAGGUGAGAGAGGCUAUUAAAACGAACUUUCUGUGACGAACCUGGAGGCAGAGGUGGAGGAAGAAUUGCUGGCAUAGGCGGUGGUCUCUCUGCAUGAAGCAUUCGGUAAAAUGGGUAAAUUUCAUACCUGAUUCUACAGCUAGGAAGUAUAACUCUUGCCCCUUGGAGUCCACUACAACAUUCCGGCAGUGACGAUAUCGCAUCCCGUAUACAUAUGCUGCAAUCAGAACUAGAUACGUCUGGCAUGCACUGCUCAAGGGUGUAGAGUAUUUGAGACCCCAUAAAAUUAGCUUCUUUAGUUGCGAACUUUUUCGCACCGGUGCUAACAUUCGCAACCUGGCUUACCGAGUCGUUCAUUGUCAGCAUCAAUAACUGGUUAAACUGAUUUGAAUCUGCAGAAAUAUUUUUAUGGCUAGGAACGUAAAAUCCAGACAACGUGUUCAUGGUGGAGAAGAAAUAUUGGUCUGAGUAGCGUAACAUGCACUCCUCGUACCAGAUCACGGCCGUUUUUUGUAUGGGACAGUAUUGAUUAAU